UUGGUUUAGUUUCAUAAUGUUGUUUGACAAAGCAUGUUUUUAGGAUGAGUAAACAGUACCUUGCCAAUGUUGGCCACUAGAUCAAUAGAAAGGUUGGAGGAAGGGACACAGUUCUUGUCGAUGCAUUGUCAAGGCGCAUUCCUCUUGUUAGCGACCGACCAACUAUAAUAUUUGGUGCUAACGUAA
Zingiber officinale is the source of this 186-nucleotide long non-coding RNA. RefSeq lists it as uncharacterized. The record is from RefSeq and is a predicted model, not a curated record. Lineage: Eukaryota; Viridiplantae; Streptophyta; Magnoliopsida; Zingiberales; Zingiberaceae. The transcript has 2 exons.